UACCCUACGGGCGGCUGCAGUGGGGAAUAUUGCACAAUGGGCGAAAGCCUGAUGCAGCAACGCCGCGUGAGUGAUGAAGGCCUUCGGGUUGUAAAGCUCUGUCUUCUGGGACGAUAAUGACGGUACCAGAGGAGGAAGCCACGGCUAACUACGUGCCAGCAGCCGCGGUAAUACGUAGGUGGCAAGCGUUGUCCGGAUUUACUGGGCGUAAAGAAUGCGUAGGCGGAUAUUUAAGUGAGAUGUGAAAUUCCCGGGCUUAACUUGGGAGCUGCAUUUCAAACUGGGUAUCUAGAGUGCGGGAGAGGAAAGUGGAAUUCCUAGUGUAGCGGUGAAAUGCGUAGAGAUUAGGAAGAACACCAGUGGCGAAGGCGACUUUCUGGACCGUAACUGACGCUGAGGCAUGAAAGCGUGGGGAGCAAACAGGAUUAGAUACCCCUGUAGUCGU
Molecule: ribosomal RNA, 445 nt
Filed under: uncultured Clostridium sp.
Lineage: Bacteria; Bacillati; Bacillota; Clostridia; Eubacteriales; Clostridiaceae
Description: bacterial SSU rRNA
Rfam family: Bacterial small subunit ribosomal RNA
Source: RNAcentral